This 251-nucleotide ribosomal RNA is filed under the name uncultured bacterium. Its description in RNAcentral is "partial 16S ribosomal RNA". It matches the Rfam family "Bacterial small subunit ribosomal RNA", at positions 60 to 339 of the family's 1533-position model. The record is from RNAcentral.
AGUCGAACGCAGUAGCAAUACUGAGUGGCAAACGGGUGAGUAUAAUGUGGGAAUCUGCCUUUUGGUUCGGAAUAACACGAGGAAACUUGUGCUAAUACCGGAUAAGCCCUUACGGGGAAAGUUUUAAUGCCAAAAGAUGAGCCCGCAUUUGAUUAGCUAGUUGGUAAGGUAAAAGCUUACCAAGGCGACAAUCAAUAGCUGAUUUGAGAGGACGAUCAGCCACACUGGAACUGAGACACGGUCCAGACUCC